AUUGAACGCUGGCGGAAUGCUUUACACAUGCAAGUCGAACGGCAGCACGGGGGCAGCCCUGGUGGCGAGUGGCGAACGGGUGAGUAAUACAUCGGAACGUGCCCGGUCGUGGGGGAUAACGUAGCGAAAGUUACGCUAAUACCGCAUACGAUCUGAGGAUGAAAGCGGGGGACCUUCGGGCCUCGCGCGAUCGGAGCGGCCGAUGUCAGAUUAGGUAGUUGGUGGGGUAAAGGCCUACCAAGCCGACGAUCUGUAGCUGGUCUGAGAGGACGACCAGCCACACUGGAACUGAGACACGGCCCAGACUCCUACGGGAGGCAGCAGUGGGGAAUAUUGGACAAUGGGCGCAAGCCUGAUCCAGCCAUGCCGCGUGCAGGACGAAGGCCUUCGGGUUGUAAACUGCUUUUGUACGGGACGAAAAGGCUCUGGCUAAUACCUGGGGCUCAUGACGGUACCGUAAGAAUAAGCACCGGCUAACUACGUG
RNAcentral lists this ribosomal RNA (484 nucleotides) under uncultured bacterium. RNAcentral's name for it is "partial 16S ribosomal RNA". It matches the Rfam family "Bacterial small subunit ribosomal RNA", at positions 29 to 507 of the family's 1533-position model. The record is from RNAcentral.